AGAAUCAACGCUGGCGGCGUGCCUCAGACAUGCAAGUCGAACGCGAAAGUCCCCUUCGGGGGGCAAGUAGAGUGGCGCACGGGUGAGUAACACGUAGGUAAUCUACCUUUGGAUGGGGAAUAACAACCGGAAACGGUUGCUAAUACCGCAUAAUGCAGCGGCACCUAAUGGUGACAGUUGUUAAAGCGGGGGAUCGAAAGACCUCGCGUCUGAAGAGGAGCCUGCGGCGGAUUAGCUAGUUGGUGGGGUAACGGCCUACCAAGGCUACGAUCCGUA
Molecule: ribosomal RNA, 276 nt
Filed under: uncultured soil bacterium
Lineage: Bacteria
Description: partial 16S ribosomal RNA
Rfam family: Bacterial small subunit ribosomal RNA
Source: RNAcentral